UCCGGGAAACUGGAAUUAAUACCGCAUACGCCCUACGGGGGAAAGAUUUAUCGGGGAAGGAUUGGCCCGCGUUGGAUUAGCUAGUUGGUGGGGUAAAGGCCUACCAAGGCGACGAUCCAUAGCUGGUCUGAGAGGAUGAUCAGCCACAUUGGGACUGAGACACGGCCCAAACUCCUACGGGAGGCAGCAGUGGGGAAUAUUGGACAAUGGGCGCAAGCCUGAUCCAGCCAUGCCGCGUGAGUGAUGAAGGCCUUAGGGUUGUAAAGCUCUUUCACCGGAGAAGAUAAUGACGGUAUCCGGAGAAGAAGCCCCGGCUAACUUCGUGCCAGCAGCCGCGGUAAUACGAAGGGGGCUAGCGUUGUUCGGAAUUACUGGGCGUAAAGCGCACGUAGGCGGAUAUUUAAGUCAGGGGUGAAAUCCCAGAGCUCAACUCUGGAACUGCCUUUGAUACUGGGUAUCUUGAGUAUGGAAGAGGUAAGUGGAAUUCCGAGUGUAGAGGUGAAAUUCGUAGAUAUUCGGAGGAACACCAGUGGCGAAGGCGGCUUACUGGUCCAUUACUGACGCUGAGGUGCGAAAGCGUGCGGAGCAAACAGGAUUAGAUACCCUGGUAGUCCACGCCGUAAACGAUGAAUGUUAGCCCGUCGGGCAGUAUACUGUUCGGUGGCGCACCUAAGGCAUUAAACAUUCCGCCUGGGGAGUACGGUCGCACAAUAAAACUCCACGGACUGACGGGGCCCGCCCACCGGUGGACAUGAGGUUUAUUCGAAGCACGCG
Molecule: ribosomal RNA, 774 nt
Filed under: Agrobacterium tumefaciens
Lineage: Bacteria; Pseudomonadati; Pseudomonadota; Alphaproteobacteria; Hyphomicrobiales; Rhizobiaceae
Description: bacterial SSU rRNA
Rfam family: Bacterial small subunit ribosomal RNA
Source: RNAcentral